Dreissena polymorpha is the source of this 632-nucleotide long non-coding RNA. RefSeq lists it as uncharacterized. The record is from RefSeq and is a predicted model, not a curated record. Lineage: Eukaryota; Metazoa; Mollusca; Bivalvia; Myida; Dreissenidae. The transcript has 4 exons.
GCUGCACGCAUCUGUGAAUACCAACUGACCACGGCAAUCGAUGAUUUAAAAGACAGAGUGCAUACAGAGCGUAAUUUGGAUCCACAUCACAACAUAUUCGUCGUAGUGGAAAAUUCUACGCUAGACGAAUUCGGUGGGGAAAUUGAGUUUCGAGCUAAUCUAGAAAAACGAAUUUCGUCCGAAAUGAUCCGAUCAAGAAUGAAAGGGGAAAUCUACCAAGACCGGUCAGUUCUGCAAAUUCUACUCGUCCAUCUCGUUCUGAACAAUGACCAAUACACGUUUAAAACUGUAAAAUCUGCUAUGGACAAAGGCAUAUCUUCCGUCACAACUGACUCGGAUACUCGCAAACGACAAGACAGUGCCAUUUCGGACAGCAAAAUGAAAUCAAAUCGAAAAUGCUUCGAAACAGUACUAUUCCAAAUGACGGAAGCAAAACGUUUGAAGAAACUUACCAGGAAAAGCUACACCUUUGCGACAAGUUCAAAGUGCUUGCGCAGAUGAUCUGUGAUCUUUGGUUGGAUGAUGUUUCACUUGGGAUUUGUCUGUUGAACUGGGUUCUUUGCGAUCCUGACAGAGCUGUUGUUGUCAAGCGACUGGUGUACACAGAUGACAUAAGAAAGAUAAUAAUGAAU